CGUCUAUAUACGUAUAGCAUAUCAAUAAGCGGAGGAAAAGAAACUAACUAGGAUUCCCUCAGUAACGGCGAGUGAAGCGGGAAGAGCUCAAAUUUGAAAUCUUCAAGGUUCUACCUUGACGAAUUGUAGUUUAAAGAAGUGUUUUCUGUUGGAGUUUUGGUAAAAGUUCUUUGGAAUAGGACAUCAUAGAGGGUGAGAAUCCCGUAUUUGACCAUUAUUUUCAACUUUGUGAUACACUUUCAAAGAGUCGGAUUGUUUGGGAAUGCAGGUCCAAAAUGGGUGGUAAAUUUCAUCUAAAGCUAAAUAUUGGCGAGAGACCGAUAGCGAACAAGUACCGUGAGGGAAAGAUGAAAAGAACUUUGAAAAGAGAGUUAAACAGUACGUGAAAUUGUCAAAAGGGAAGCGUUUGACACCAGUGUUGUUUUCUCGAAAAUCAAUUAAAAAUGGCGGGAUUUUGUGUUGUAUUGACUCUUAUAAGCUUUCUGCACUUUUUUCAUGUCUUUUUUAAUGCACUUUUCGUUUAACAAGUCAACAUCAAUUUCUUUUGUUGUAAAAGGGUCAUUGGAAGGUGGCUUUCUUUUCGGAGAAAGUGUUUAUAGCCUUUGACUUCUGCAAUCGGAGAGAUUGAGGUCUGCAGCGUAGAUCCUUCGGGGUUAGAUGCAUUUGUGCUAAGUUAUAGCCUUUCAUAGACAACUUGUUGACUAUGAUCAGUCAUGUAGCUUACUCGCUUAUGUUAUUUUACCUACGCUUAGGAUGUUGACGAUCAGCUGAGCGCG
This 776-nucleotide ribosomal RNA is filed under the name uncultured Neocallimastigales. RNAcentral describes it as "partial large subunit ribosomal RNA". It matches the Rfam family "Eukaryotic large subunit ribosomal RNA", at positions 26 to 628 of the family's 3401-position model. The record is from RNAcentral. Lineage: Eukaryota; Fungi; Neocallimastigomycota; Neocallimastigomycetes; Neocallimastigales.